This 394-nucleotide ribosomal RNA is filed under the name Salmonella enterica subsp. enterica serovar Infantis. Its description in RNAcentral is "partial 23S ribosomal RNA". It matches the Rfam family "Bacterial large subunit ribosomal RNA", at positions 161 to 590 of the family's 2925-position model. Lineage: Bacteria; Pseudomonadati; Pseudomonadota; Gammaproteobacteria; Enterobacterales; Enterobacteriaceae. RNAcentral also lists the same sequence under 1 other name. The record is from RNAcentral.
AAUCCAUAGGUUAAUGAGGCGAACCGGGGGAACUGAAACAUCUAAGUACCCCGAGGAAAAGAAAUCAACCGAGAUUCCCCCAGUAGCGGCGAGCGAACGGGGAGGAGCCCAGAGCCUGAAUCAGCAUGUGUGUUAGUGGAAGCGUCUGGAAAGGCGCGCGAUACAGGGUGACAGCCCCGUACACAAAAGCGCAUGUGCUGUGAGCUCGAUGAGUAGGGCGGGACACGUGGUAUCCUGUCUGAAUAUGGGGGGACCAUCCUCCAAGGCUAAAUACUCCUGACUGACCGAUAGUGAACCAGUACCGUGAGGGAAAGGCGAAAAGAACCCCGGCGAGGGGAGUGAAAAAGAACCUGAAACCGUGUACGUACAAGCAGUGGGAGCCCCACCACCAAAG